RNAcentral lists this ribosomal RNA (5520 nucleotides) under Triticum aestivum (bread wheat). RNAcentral's name for it is "partial small subunit ribosomal RNA". The record is from RNAcentral. Lineage: Eukaryota; Viridiplantae; Streptophyta; Magnoliopsida; Poales; Poaceae.
AUGGAAACGCGCAGCCGCAAGCGCGCCGCCGCCAGCACCCCCUCCUCCUCCUCCUCCUCCUCCAAGCGCGCCCGCACCGCCCCCCGCCCCGCACCGCCCGCGAUGGACCCGUCCCCGUCCUCCCGCCGCCGGGCGCGCGCCGCGGCGGCAGCCGCGGCCGCCGCAGCGGAGAAAGGCAAGGACUUGGACCCCUCCUCCACCUCCAACCCGGCCCCCCACCACCACCACCACGAGGACGAGGACGAGGACGGCGACGACGACUCUGCCGCCGCCCCCUUCCCGCCCUCCUUCACCUCCGCCAGCACCGCCCUCCAGGGCCUCCUACGCAGGCUGGGCGCCGGGCUGGACGACCUGCUCCCGGGCUCCGCGGCGGCGGCCGCGGCCUCCUCCACCAUCUCCGCGCAGCUCAAGCGGAUCCUGGCCGGGCUGCAGGCCGAGGGCGACGAGUCGCGCCAGCUCGGCUCCCUCAUGCAGCUCUGCGAGAUGCUCUCCAUCGGCACCGAGGACUCGCUGGCCGCCUUCCCCGUCGACGCCUUCGUGCCGCUCCUCGUCGGCCUGCUCCGCGAGGAGGACGGCCCCGGCGCCAGCCCCGAGGUCAUGCUGCUCGCCGCGCGCGCCCUCGCCAACCUCGUCGACGUGCUGCCCUCCGCCUGCUCCUCCGUCGUGCACUAUGGCGCUAUACCGUGCUUCUGCGCCCGGCUCCUCACCAUCGAGUACAUGGACCUCGCCGAGCAGUCUCUGCAAGCUCUUAGGAAGAUUUCCCUCGAGCAUCCUACUGCAUGUUUGAGAGCUGGUGCGCUAAUGGCCGUCCUGUCGUAUCUGGACUUCUUCUCCACUGGUGUUCAGAGAGUUGCACUGUCUACUGCUGCCAAUAUUUGCAGGAAGCUGCCAUCCGAUGCAUCCGAGUUCGUCAUGGAAGCUGUACCGUUGCUCACUAAUCUCCUACACCACCAUGACUCUAAGGUACUAGAGCAUGCUUCUGUUUGUUUAACACGCAUUGCAGAGGCCUUUGCUCACCAUCCUGAGAAGUUGGAUGAGCUGUGCAAUCAUGGGCUGGUUGCGCAAGCUGCUAACUUGGUAUCCAUCAGCAACUCCCCAGGCCAGACAUCGCUCAGCACAUCGACAUAUACGGGUUUAAUCCGUCUUCUCUCAACUUGUGCGAGUGGAUCGCUGUUGGCAGCCAAAACACUUCUUCUUCUUGGCAUUAGUGGCACCAUUAAAGAAAUUCUUUCAGGGUCUGGUUUGGUUGCUGGAACGUCAGUCGCCCCAGCUUUGUCAAGGCCUGCUGAUCAGAUGUUUGAGAUCGUGAGCCUUGCUGAUGAUUUGCUCCCACAUUUGCCUGUGGGGAUAAUUUCUUUACCAACAAACUGUCGUGUAUUUAUUAAAGGCUCUUCUACAAGGAGACCUGCUCCCACCAAACAAGAUGGGGCUGGUUCAACAGAAAAUGAGAGGUCAGGCCAUGAGAGUCUAUUACAGGAGCACCCCGAACUUCUACAACAGUUCGGUAUGGACUUAUUGCCCGUAAUGACACAGGUGUAUGGUUCAAGUGUAAAUGCACCAAUACGUCACAAGUGCUUAUCUAUCAUUGGGAAAUUAAUGUGCUAUAGCUCUGCUGAAAUGAUCCAGACUCUCCUUAGCACGACAAACAUAUCCAGCUUCUUAGCAGGCAUUCUUGCUUGGAAAGAUCCACAAGUGCUGAUUCCUGCUCUUCAGAUAGCAGAAAUUAUGAUGGAAAAACUUCCCGAGACAUUCUCCAAGUUAUUUGUGAGGGAAGGUGUUGUUCAUGCUGUGGAAGCACUUAUAUGUCCGGAAUCCUCAAAUAUGGUGCCUCCUCAGGUACCACCACAGGAUAAGGAUGGCGAUUCUGUUAUGUCCUCACGCCCUAGACGACAGCGUCGUCGUGGGGGUGCUGCACCUACAGAGAACAGUUUGUUAGAUGUGUCAAACGCCUCCAAUUCUGGCAUUGCCAGCGCAUCGCCAUGCUCUACAGAAGUUCCAGUCACCAGUCUCCGUUUUGAAGUUAGCGAUCGUGCGAAGUCGUUCAAAGAUAAAUACUUCCCUUCAGACCAUGGUUCAAGCGACGCUGGAGUCACUGACGACCUUCUUAAGCUGAGAGCACUGUGUGCAAAGUUGAAUACUGCAACUGACAAUGUCAUAACAAAAGCCAAAGGGAAAUCAAAAGCCUUGAGCCCUAGCCAUUUUGACAUCUCACAUGAUGUGGAUGAACAGUUAGACCUGAUAGUAAAUGAAAUGCUUGCUGAGCUAAGCAAAGCUAAUGGUGUCUCCACAUUUGAGUUCAUCAGGAGCGGAGUUAUCACAUCAUUCCUUGACUAUUUGUCAUGUGGGACAUUCGGGAAGGAGAAGGUAUCCGAAGCAAACCUGCCAAAGCUUCGCCAGCAGGCGCUUAGGAGAUACAAGUCCUUCAUAUCUGUUGCCCUUUCUGCCGACCAUGAAAGGGAUGAAACUCCAAUGACUCUCUUGGUCCAAAAACUGCAAAGUGCAUUAUGUUCGUUGGAGCGUUUCCCUGUUGUGCUCAGCCAGUCUAACAGAAUUGGUACUGGCGGCUCCCGUCUGACCUCAGGUCUUGGCGCUCUAGCUCAACCCUUCAAGUUGCGCCUGUGUCGAGCUCAAGGCGAAAAAUCACUUCGGGAUUAUUCAUCAAAUAUUGUACUUAUCGAUCCCUUUGCGAGUCUGGCAGCCGUCGAAGAUUUUCUUUGGCCCAGAGUUCAGCGCGGUGAGGCUGCUUCCAAACCUCCAGUCGCUUCUGCAAAUAAUUCUGAAUCUGGUACACCCGGUGCCGCUGCUGGUGGAUCAUCAACACCUGCAUCAGCCCGGCGUCCAACAACAAGAUCAAAGUCAUCUGCUGCAAGUGCUGGUACAUCUAGUAAGGAGUCUCUAGAGGAAAGCACUAGUAGCGCAAAGGCAAAAGGCAAAGCUGUUGUAAAACCAAGCUCAGCUGAACCAAAAGGACCGAACACAAGGAAUGCUACCCGCAGAAAAUCUGCCUUGGAGAAAGAUUUGGACAUGAAGCAAACACAUGGUGACAGUAGUUCUGAGGAUGAGGAGCUGGACACAUCUCAUAUUGAGCUUGAUGAUGCUUUAAUGAUUGAUGAUGAUGACAUUUCAGAGGAUGAAGAUGAUGAUCAUGAGGUUCUGCAAGAGGGCUCUCUUCCUAUUUGUGUUCAAGAUGGGGUGCAUGAUGUGAAGUUGGGUGACGCUGAUGACUCCAAUGUUGGUUCAGCAAGUGAUAGCCAGGCGCAGCCAUCAUCUGGUUCUGGUUCCAGUGCUAGAAACAUUAUGGGCAGGGGAGUAAAUGCUGCUGAAUUUCGAACUGCAGGUGCCUUUGGAUCGCAAGGGGCAAUGUCAUUUGUUGCUGCGACAAUGGCUGGGCUGACUUCUGGUGGUGGUCGCGGUGUUAGAGGUGGUCGUGAUCGGCGUGGCCUGUCACUUGGAGGCAGCAUGAGUGAGCACAACAAACUGAUAUUCAUGGCUGGCGGGAAGCAGCUUAGCAAAAAUUUGACCGUAUAUCAAGCAAUCCAACGUCAACUGAUGCUCGACGAGGAUGAUGAAGAAAGGUUCAACGGGUCUGACCUACCAAACGAUGGAAACCGAUUCUGGGGUGACGUGUUCACGAUAACUUACCAGAAGGCUGAUAGCCAGGCUGAGAAGGGAUCCCAAGGUAGUUCUGCCUCAUUGCAUCAAAAGUCAGAAUCAGGCAGAUCUGUUUCUGAAGCACACAAGGUUUCUCUUCUUGAUAGCAUCUUACAAGGGGAACUUCCAUGUGAUUUGGAGAAAACAAACUCAACUUACAGCAUUUUAGCGUUGUUACGUGUAUUAGAGGGGCUGAAUCAGCUAUCCCCUCGUUUAAGAGCGCAGACAGCAUCUGAUGAUUUUGCUGAGGGGAAAAUCGCUACUCUGGAUGAGCUAUAUGAAGCUGGAACCAAGGUGCCUUCAGAAGAGUUCGUCAACAGUAAGUUGACACCGAAGCUUACUCGGCAAAUGCAGGAUGUUCUUGCACUCUGCAGCGGCAGUUUACCUUCUUGGUGUAAUCAGAUCACUAAAGCCUGUCCCUUUCUGUUCCCCUUCGAAACGAGGAGGCAGUACUUCCAUUCCACAGCUUUUGGGUUGUCCCGGGCGUUGAAUCGACUUCAGCAGCAACAGGGUGAUAAUCCCAACACUGGCAGCGAAAGAGAGGUCCGAUUUGGCAGGCUUCAACGCCAGAAGGUCCGUGUUUCCCGUAACCGCAUUCUGGAUUCUGCCGCCAAAGUUAUGGAGAUGUUCUCUAGUCAGAGAGCUGUUCUUGAGGUGGAAUACUUUGGUGAGGUUGGGACAGGGCUGGGUCCUACGUUGGAGUUCUAUACUCUCCUGGGCCAUGAACUGCAGAAUGCUCGGUUGGGAUUAUGGAGAUCUAGUUCGCCUUACGAUUAUUCAGAAAUGGAAAUCGAUAAGAAUGGUGUGAUCCAUGUGGAUUCUGACGAUGAUUUGCCAGCUCCUCAAGAACUCAACUCAUCCGAAGAUGCCCGGAAUCUGGUACAAGCUCCUCUUGGAUUAUUUCCUCGCCCUUGGCCAUCUAAUGUUGAUACCUCGGAGGGUAGCAGAUUCUUCAAAGUCGUAGAAUAUUUCCGCUUGGUCGGUCGAGUCGUGGCGAAAGUCUUGCAGGAUGGAAGGCUCUUAGAUUUGCCUUUGUCAACAGCAUUUUAUAAGCUCAUACUUGGACAGGAGCUUGAUUUAUUCGACAUUAUCUCGUUUGAUGCUGAGCUUGGAAAGACACUGCAAGAACUGCAAGUUCUUGUUGAGCGUAGGAGGUUCCUUGAGUCCACUUGUGGCAAGGAUCAGCUAGAAGUUGCAGACUUGCGUUUCCGUGGAGCUCCUAUCGAGGACUUGUGUUUAGAUUUUACUCUUCCAGGUUUUCCUGAUUAUAUUCUCAAAGAAGGCGAGCAAAACACAAUUGUUAAUAUCCACAACCUAGAGGAGUAUGUUUCUUUGGUAGUCGAUGCGACAGUGAAGUCAGGGAUUAUGAAGCAGGUUGAAGCUUUCAGAUCAGGUUUUAGCCAGGUCUUUGAUAUCUCAUCCCUCCAAAUAUUUUCACCUCAAGAGCUUGACUAUCUAAUAUGUGGUCGUCAAGAAAUAUGGGAGGCUGAAUCACUGGUGGAUAACAUCAAAUUUGAUCAUGGGUUUACUGCUAAAAGUCCUGCCAUUAUAAAUCUACUCGAGAUCAUGGCGGAAUUUACCCCUGAUCAGCAGCAUGCAUUCUGCCAGUUUGUAACUGGUGCUUCUCGGCUUCCAACUGGUGGUUUGGCUGCCCUUAGUCCCAAGCUUACCAUAGUUCGAAAGCACCCCUCGAGUGGGGUGAGUACUUUGAAUACAAGCGGGGUAACAGACGCUGCGGAUGACGAUUUGCCCAGUGUCAUGACAUGUGCCAAUUAUCUCAAACUACCCCCAUAUUCCACAAAAGAAGUCAUGCGCAAGAAGCUGCUCUACGCCAUCCUAGAAGGCCGUGGAUCUUUUGAUCUAUCCUGA